Molecule: unclassified non-coding RNA, 225 nt
Filed under: uncultured bacterium
Lineage: Bacteria
Description: contains 16S-23S intergenic spacer region
Source: RNAcentral
UCCGAGUUGACCCCGGCGGUCAGCGCCAUGUCAAGCCCUGGUAAGGUUCUUCGCGUAGCUUCGAAUUAAACCGCACGCUCCGCUGCUUGUGCGGGCCCCCGUCAAUUCCUUUGAGUUUUAGCCUUGCGGCCGUACUCCCCAGGCGGUCGACUUCACGCGUUAGCUUCGUUACUGAGAGUGUCAAACCCCCAACAACCAGUCGACAUCGUUUAGGGCGUGGACUAC